This 959-nucleotide ribosomal RNA is filed under the name uncultured Bacteroidota bacterium. RNAcentral's name for it is "bacterial SSU rRNA". It matches the Rfam family "Bacterial small subunit ribosomal RNA", at positions 9 to 965 of the family's 1533-position model. The record is from RNAcentral. Lineage: Bacteria; Pseudomonadati; Bacteroidota.
GAGUUUGAUCCUGGCUCAGGAUGAACGCUAGCGGCAGGCUUAACACAUGCAAGUCGAACGGUAACAGAAAAAGCUUGCUUUUUGCUGACGAGUGGCGAACGGGUGCGUAACGCGUAUGCAACCUACCUUCUUCUAAGGAAUAGCCCAGAGAAAUUUGGAUUAAUACCUUAUGAUAAUAUUUAUUCGCAUGUUUAAAUAUUUAAAACUCCGGUGGAAGAAGAUGGGCAUGCGUAACAUUAGUUUGUUGGUGAGGUAAUGGCUCACCAAGACUACGAUGUUUAGGGGGUCUGAGAGGAUGAUCCCCCACACUGGUACUGAGACACGGACCAGACUCCUACGGGAGGCAGCAGUGAGGAAUAUUGGUCAAUGGACGAAAGUCUGAACCAGCCAUGCCGCGUGAAGGAUGACGGCCCUACGGGUUGUAAACUUCUUUUGUAUAGGAAGAAACCCCUCUACGUGUAGAGGGUUGACGGUACUAUUCGAAUAAGCACCGGCUAACUCCGUGCCAGCAGCCGCGGUAAUACGGAAGGUGCGAGCGUUAUCCGGAAUUAUUGGGUUUAAAGGGUGCGUAGGCGGAAAUUUAAGUCAGUGGUGAAAGCCUGCAGCUUAACUGUAGAAUUGCCAUUGAUACUGGAUUUCUUGAAUCUAAUAGAAGUAGGCGGAAUAUGACAUGUAGCGGUGAAAUGCUUAGAUAUGUCAUAGAACACCGAUAGCGAAGGCAGCUUACUAUGUUAGUAUUGACGCUAAUGCACGAAAGCGUGGGGAGCGAACAGGAUUAGAUACCCUGGUAGUCCACGCCGUAAACGAUGAUUACUCGCUAUUGGCGAUACACUGUCAGUGGCUAAGCGAAAGUGAUAAGUAAUCCACCUGGGGAGUACGAUCGCAAGGUUGAAACUCAAAGGAAUUGACGGGGGCCCGCACAAGCGGUGGAGCAUGUGGUUAAUUCGAUGAUACGCGAG